Molecule: long non-coding RNA, 839 nt
Filed under: Lupinus angustifolius (narrow-leaved blue lupine)
Lineage: Eukaryota; Viridiplantae; Streptophyta; Magnoliopsida; Fabales; Fabaceae
Description: long non-coding RNA (LANG_LNC003300)
Source: RNAcentral
UUUGAUAUGUUUGUAAUAAAUGGUUUAGAAUUAAGGGGGAGUGUUAGAAUGGUUAGUUAGUUAGCUUCCAUAUUUGGUAAGUAUUCAAAUGGAAGUUUAGUUAGUUAAAUGCAGAGUUACUAUAAAUAGCUUUGUAAUACAUUGAUUCUAUACAUGGAGUGAAAUUCAUUGAAUAAUUCUUCUUCUCAUCUUCAACUACCAUACACUUAAUUCUAAUUCAUUUUCCUACUGCAACCUUUUUCUAUUGUUUUGUUUCUUCUUCUCCUUCACAGAGUGCAUAGGCACUGGUUUUCUACAACAGGAAGAAGACAGAGAUUCGGUUCCCUUUACCACCUUGUCACGAUGAGAAGGAAAAACAGAGGAUUAGGGAUUGGAAUCCCUUUUCUGGUUCUGGGAAAAGAGGGAACCGUAAACUCCCUUGGAUCUCCGUCACCAUCAAGAGUUUUCCACGCCGUCAUGAAUCGUCGUUGGAGAAUGGAACUCGCCGCCGAAUAAGGAUAGAAGGGAGAAGAGAGGCCAAACGAGGCAGAAGUUGGGGUUUGCGCCACCGGCAACGCACGAACCUCCACCACGUCCUCUAGAGGCUGAAGCGUGGUCCCUAGAGGAGGAAUUGGGAAUAAGGGAUUCAAAUUCCCUUCUCCUUUUGCAGCUGGAGGGAUGCGUGAAUAGGGUGAACCCUUUUUAGGGAUUACAUUCCCUUGUUCUUCUCAAUCACGUGAAAAUGGGAGGGGAGUAACCCAUUUUGUUUUUUUUCCUUCUUUUAAUUAAAUUGUUUUCCUUUUUAUUAUUCUAUUUUCAUUUUUUAUCUUUGGGUAUUUGUUUGAUUAUGCAUUCCUAGC